This 459-nucleotide ribosomal RNA is filed under the name uncultured bacterium. RNAcentral's name for it is "partial 16S ribosomal RNA". It matches the Rfam family "Bacterial small subunit ribosomal RNA", at positions 338 to 795 of the family's 1533-position model. The record is from RNAcentral.
CCUACGGGAGGCAGCAGUGAGGAAUAUUGGUCAAUGGGCGGGAGCCUGAACCAGCCAAGCCGCGUGAGGGAAGAAGGUACAGCGUAUCGUAAACCUCUUUUGUCAGGGAACAAAGGCGGGGACUAGUCCCCGGAUGAGGGUACCUGAAGAAAAAGCAUCGGCUAACUCCGUGCCAGCAGCCGCGGUAAUACGGAGGUUGCGAGCGUUAUCCGGAUUUAUUGGGUUUAAGGGGUGCGCAUGCGGCCUGUUAAGUCAGCGGGAAAAGCCCGGGGCUCAACCCCGGCGAGCCGUUGAAACUGGCGGGCUGGAGUGGGAGAGAAGUACGCGGAAUGCGCGGUGUAGCGGUGAAAUGCUUAGAUAUCGCGCAGAACCCCGAUUGCGAAGGCAGCGUACCGGCUCCACACUGACGCUGAGGCACGAAAGCGUGGGUAUCGAACAGGGUUAGAUACCCCUGUAGUC